UAGUCCACGCCGUAAACGAUGUCAACUAGCCGUUGGGAGGGUUAAACCUCAAAGUGGCGCAGCUAACGCGAUAAGUUGACCGCCUGGGGAGUACGCGCGCAAGCGUAAAACUCAAAGGAAUUGACGGGGCCCGCACAAGCGGUGGAGCAUGUGGUUUAAUUCGAUGCAACGCGAAGAACCUUACCUGGCCUUGACAUCCUGAGAACUUUCUAGAGAUAGAUUGGUGCCUUCGGGAACUCAGUGACAGGUGCUGCAUGGCUGUCGUCAGCUCGUGUUGUGAAAUGUUGGGUUAAGUCCCGUAACGAGCGCAACCCCUAUCCUUAUUUGCCAGCACGUAAUGGUGGGAACUCUAGGGAGACUGCCGGUGACAAACCGGAGGAAGGUGGGGACGACGUCAAGUCAUCAUGGCCCUUACGACCAGGGGCUACACACGUGCUACAAUGGGGCGGUACAGAGGGGUUGCCAAGCCGCGAGGUGGAGCUAAUCCCUUAAAACCGUUCGUAGUCCGGGAUUGGGAGUCUGCAACUCGAC
This 531-nucleotide ribosomal RNA is filed under the name uncultured bacterium. RNAcentral's name for it is "bacterial SSU rRNA". It matches the Rfam family "Bacterial small subunit ribosomal RNA", at positions 791 to 1316 of the family's 1533-position model. The record is from RNAcentral.